GUGCCUAAUAGAAAAAAAAACCCAAAACAACAACAUAGAGCAGGUUGAGCUAAAGAGUAUAUGUACAUACGUUACAUUUUACACACUUCUGUCUUCAUUCCCUUUCCUUAGAUGACAUCUUAAGAAUACUGUGUCUCCUCCUGGCAUUCACUUUUUUACUCCAAAAUGAAGACCUAUAAUUAAUUUAAGAUAGUUAUGUAACAGUAUAAUUUUAAAUAAAGUUGACCAUAUGCAUUCACUAAGAUUACUCUCAUAAAUCAUGUUGCUACCCAUACCAAUUGGAAGAAAAUGGGUUCAUUCUCAUAAGUUGUGUACCUCAGUUGUCUGACUGCCAAGACACCCGAACAGUGAAAACAAGUAUGCUUUAUGGAUAUAUUUACUGAGAGUGAGAAGAGAUUGAAAAAAUAAUUUAUCUGUGCGUUGCCUUUUUCAGAGAUUCAACAAGAAUGACACUUGUUCCGAUACUCUUUAGACAUUAAAAAUCAAUAAUUAAAAAAGCGUGUAUUGCCAAUAUAUCAUAAAUGUAAGGAUGAUGAAUGAAGUCCAUGUGAAUUGCCUACAGACACAUUUAAUUUGUAAUCUAGAAGGAAAGUUUUGCAUUUUAUUUUUUAUUUUGUCUUAUAACUAGCUGAAGAGAUCAAGCUACUUCUCUUCCUCUGGAAUGCUGCUUUCCAGAAAAGGACAUAUUUUAUUGAAUACCAUGAUAAGGAAUUAGGUCAAAAUCCUACAGCUUCUUUAAGAUGUAAAUCUGUCUGAGACAAUAUGAAACUCUAUGUAAGUUAAUAUUAACGAUCAAAUAGAAAUUUAUAAUGUAAAUCAUUUAGAUUAUCCAAACUACAUCAGGAUUUAUUUCUCUUGGCUUUUAAAUCUUAACAUGGCCUCAGAUGGAUCUUUCUUAGAGCCAGUGUUACAUACUGAACUGCUUAUAAACAUUGAUAUUCUGACCCAUAUAUGACUUGAGAUAUUCUACAUGAAGUUUAUAGCUAUUCAUAAGUAUACUUGCCCUCUAUUGGAAAACUGUAAAAGCAGAGUAUAGGAAAAUACAGAUAGAUACUAAGAAUUGUAUAAACCUGGUUCGAAUCAUUGACCUGACAUCUAAUACCCCUGUGGCCUUUCACCUUGGCUAAAUUGUUAGGUAUUCUAUUCUUUUUGAUGCAGUUGGAAAUGGGAUUGUUUGCUUAAUCUCUCUUUCUGAUAGGCCAUUAUUAGUGUAUAGAAAUAUAAUAGAUUUCUGUAUAUUUUGUGUCUUCACCAUACGAUGAAUUUAUUCAUCCUAACAGGUUUUUAGUGGAUUCCUUAGGUUUAUCUAUAUAUAAUGUCAUCUACAAAUAAGUAAUGGUUUUAUUUCUUUCCAGUAUGGAUGCCUUUUUCUUGCCUAAUUGCUCUCAGUAGGACUACCAAUACUAUGUUGGAAAAAAGUGGCAAGACUAGCAUCACAACAGAGAAACCUGAAUGGAAGACUUAGCCACAACCAGAGCAAACUUCAGCAGCCACAACCCUGAUCAGCCAGCUGCCAUCAACUUGGAGGCAAGACCUUCCACCAGCGGAAAAGAUUACAACUAGCUGAAAGCUGAGCUGAUGGCUAGCAUUUUUAGAAAUACAGUAUUUUUUAAUUAAGGUAUGUACUUUGUUUUUAGAAGUGCUUCACACACCUAAUAGACUAUAAUACAGUAUAAACAUAACUUUUGUAUGUACUAGGAAACCAGAAACUUCAUUUAAGUUGCUUUAUUGCAGAUCUCUGUAACCUAACCUGCAGUAGAUCAGAGGUAUGCCUAUGUAGCUGUUUGGUUUGUGGUUACUAUGAGCCUUACGUAGAACAAACUACCAAUUUAAAGUAGACUUUCAUGAAUAUGACAGUUUUACUUUGCAGGCAUUCUAAAGCUCUGCCUUUUUACUCUUACCCAUCCUACCACCAUGGUUUAGGUUUUACUUCCUCUUACUUGUGUGUAUCCCUUAGUUAUUAUAGUUAUUUUUACUACUUUUGUCUUAACCUUCAUACCAUUACUUUUACUCUAAUGUGUAUCUUUACCAGUAAAAUGUUCACUCUUCCUGUUUUUUUGUUACUAAUCCACACCUUUCCAACUUAAAGAGCUCCCUUUAGCAUUUCUUAGGAGGCCAGUUAAUGGUGACAGAUUCCUUUAGCUUUUGUUGUUCUGGAAUACUCUUUCUCCUUUAGUUCUGAAAGAUAACUUUGCAAGAGUGUAUAUUCUUUCUUGAUUGGAAGUCUUUUUCUUUCAGCACUUGCACUCUCUCAUGCCACUCCUUUCUGGCCUGCAAAGUCCUGCUGUAAAAUCUGCUAAUUAUUGUAUGAGGGUUCUUUUGUAUAUAAGAAGUUCCUCUCUUGGCUGCUUUUAUCCUGGUCUUUAACUUUUGACAAUUAGUGUUUUGCUGUGGGUCUCUUUUGGUUCAUUUUAUUUGGAAUUCUCUCUGGGCUUCCUGUUUCUGGAUGUUGGGUUCCUUUUCUAGGUUUUCAGCCCCUUUCUGUCUCUUCUGGGAUCCCUGUCAUGUGAAUGUUAGUUGAUGUUUCCUCUAAGUCUUUUAAGCUUCCCCCCCUCCCCCCUCGCGCUAUGGGUGAAUUCUAAUACCCUGUGUUUAAGAUCAGUGAUCCUUUCUUCUGCUUCAUCUUGUCUGCUGGAAAACCCCUCUAAUUUUUCAGUUCUGUUAUUGUAUCCUUUAGCUUUGUGAUUUCUAUUUGGUACUUUUUUUUUUUUUUUCCAACUUCUGUGUUCAUCCAUUCUUCCAAUUUUGGUGAGCAUAUUCAUGGCCAUAGUUUGAGCUCUUUAUCAAGUAGAAUAUUUAUCUCCAUUUCACUGAGGUAUUUUUCCAAGGUUUCAUUGUAAUUCUUUCAUUUGGAACAAAUUCCCGUUGUUUUUUUUUUCCUCUUUGUUGGUCUCUGUGCUUUAGAUGGAACAGCCACCUCUCCCAAUGUUGAAAAUAAACCUUUUCAUUCAACCUUG
Long non-coding RNA from Herpailurus yagouaroundi (jaguarundi), 2957 nucleotides. RefSeq lists it as uncharacterized. The transcript has 2 exons. The record is from RefSeq and is a predicted model, not a curated record. Lineage: Eukaryota; Metazoa; Chordata; Mammalia; Carnivora; Felidae.